Molecule: ribosomal RNA, 253 nt
Filed under: uncultured bacterium
Lineage: Bacteria
Description: partial 16S ribosomal RNA
Rfam family: Bacterial small subunit ribosomal RNA
Source: RNAcentral
UACGGAGGGCGCAAGCGUUGUUCGGAAUCAUUGGGCGUAAAGCGCGUGUAGGCGGUCUGGUCAGUCGGGUGUGAAAUACCGGGGCUCAACUCCGGAACUGCAUUCGAUACUGCCAGGCUAGAGUCCCGGAGAGGGUGGUGGAAUUCCCGGUGUAGAGGUGAAAUUCGUAGAUAUCGGUAGGAACACCAGCGGCGAAGGCAGCCACCUGGACGGUGACUGACGCUGAGGCGCGAAAGCGUCGGCAGCAAACAGU